This is a small nucleolar RNA of Panthera pardus (leopard), 143 nucleotides long. Its record names the gene SNORA74. It matches the Rfam family "Small nucleolar RNA SNORA74". From Rfam's summary of the family: U19 belongs to the H/ACA class of snoRNAs. snoRNAs bind a number of proteins (including dyskerin, Gar1p and Nop10p in the case of the H/ACA class) to form snoRNP complexes. This class are thought to guide the sites of modification of uridines to pseudouridines by forming direct base pairing interactions with substrate RNAs. Targets may include ribosomal and spliceosomal RNAs but the exact functions of many snoRNAs, including U19, are not confirmed. The record is from Ensembl. NCBI's taxonomy places the organism in Eukaryota, Metazoa, Chordata, Mammalia, Carnivora, Felidae.
CCCAGCUGUAGGCAGCUGCCUAGGUUGCUGUGUACCUAGGCAAGUGUUACGCUGCUGGGAGAAUAGCAGCCGUGAUAGCUGGUUGGCAUUCUGGGCCUGGUUCAUUCCAACUCUGUUGUUAACUAUACCAGGAUGCCAGCAUA